AAGUAACGAUAAAGCGGGUGAAAAGCCCGCUCGCCGGAAGACCAAGGGUUCCUGUCCAACGUUAAUCGGGGCAGGGUGAGUCGACCCCUAAGGCGAGGCCGAAAGGCGUAGUCGAUGGGAAACAGGUUAAUAUUCCUGUACUUGGUGUUACUGCGAAGGGGGGACGGAGAAGGCUAUGUUGGCCGGGCGACGGUUGUCCCGGUUUUAAGCGUGUAGGCUGGUUUUCCAGGCAAAUCCGGAAAAUCAAGGCUGAGGCGUGAUGACGAGGCACUACGGUGCUGAAGCAACAAAUGCCCUGCUUCCAGGAAAAGCCUCUAAGCAUCAGGUAACAUCAAAUCGUACCCCAAACCGACACAGGUGGUCAGGUAGAGAAUACCAAGGCGCUUGAGAGAACUCGGGUGAAGGAACUAGGCAAAAUGGUGCCGUAACUUCGGGAGAAGGCACGCUGAUAUGUAGGUGAGGUCCCUCGCGGAUGGAGCCGAAAUCAGUCGAAGAUACCAGCUGGCUGCAACUGUUUAUUAAAAACACAGCACUGUGCAAACACGAAAGUGGACGUAUACGGUGUGACGCCUCCCCGGUGCCGGAAGGUUAAUUGAUGGGGUAGCGCAAGCGAAGCUCUUGAUCGAAGCCCCGGUAAACGGCGGCCGUAACAAUAACGGUCUUAAGGUAGCGAAAUUCCUUGUCGGGUAAGUUCCGACCUGCACGAAUGGCGUAAUGAUGGCCAGGCUGUCUCCACCCGAGACUCAGUGAAAUUGAACUCGCUGUGAAGAUGCAGUGUACCCGCGGCAAGACGGAAAGACCCCGUGAACCUUCACUAUAGCUUGACACUGAACAUUGAGCCUUGAUGUGUAGGAUAGGUGGGAGGCUUUGAAGUGUGGACGCCAGUCUGCAUGGAGCCGACCUAGAAAUACCACCCUUUAAUGUUUGAUGUUCUAACGUUGACCCGUAAUCCGGGUUGCGGACAGUGUCUGGUGGGUAGUUUGACUGGGGCGGUCUCCUCCUAAAGAGUAACGGAGGAGCACGAAGGUUGGCUAAUCCUGGUCGGACAUCAGGAGGUUAGUGCAAUGGCAUAAGCCAGCUUGACUGCGAGCGUGACGGCGCGAGCAGGUGCGAAAGCAGGUCAUAGUGAUCCGGUGGUUCUGAAUGGAAGGGCCAUCGCUCAACGGAUAAAAGGUACUCCGGGGAUAACAGGCUGAUACCGCCCAAGAGUUCAUAUCGACGGCGGUGUUUGGCACCUCGAUGUCGGCUCAUCACAUCCUGGGGCUGAAGUAGGUCCCAAGGGUAUGGCUGUUCGCCAUUUAAAGUGGUACGCGAGCUGGGUUUAGAACGUCGUGAGACAGUUCGGUCCCUAUCUGCCGUGGGCGCUGGAGAACUGAGGGGGGCUGCUCCUAGUACGAGAGGACCGGAGUAGACGCAUCACUGGUGUUCAGGUUGUCAUGCCAAUGGCACUGCCCGGUAGCUAAAUGCGGAAGAGAUAAGUGCUGAAAGCAUCUAAGCACGAAACUUGCCCCGAGAUGAGUUCUCCCUGACCCUUUAAGGGUCCUGAAGGAACGUUGAAGACGACGACGUUGAUAGGCCGGGUGUGUAAGCGCAGCGAUGCGUU
This 1603-nucleotide ribosomal RNA is filed under the name metagenome. RNAcentral describes it as "bacterial LSU rRNA". It matches the Rfam family "Bacterial large subunit ribosomal RNA", at positions 1304 to 2887 of the family's 2925-position model. The record is from RNAcentral.